Molecule: long non-coding RNA, 998 nt
Organism: Sceloporus undulatus (fence lizard)
Lineage: Eukaryota; Metazoa; Chordata; Lepidosauria; Squamata; Phrynosomatidae
Exons: 2
Source: RefSeq, a predicted model, not a curated record
CAUGGAGAAGGUGAUUCGUGAACAAGAUUGGCUUUUGGCUUGGGGAAAUUUGUACACGUCCUUUCCAAAACCUCUUUGGGGUUGUGGCACGAUAGCUGGAAUGCUGGCAGCUUAAUGUCCUUCCCAAAGUGGAGUCACCUCACCAUGUCUAAUGGUACAACCAGCCCUGUUCCCAAGAUGCCAUUUUGUCAGCAGACAAAAAUAAAGGUAAAGGAAGAGGAUAGUUUACAUGAUGGAGUAGGCAGGGAAGAGUGGAAAGGACACAAAUCACUGCAAUGGAUGCUGUCACUGUCCUCUCUUUUAUUACGACAUGGUAAGUAUUUCACACAAAGUACUGAAAAGAAUUCCCAAAGAUGGCGCUUUAUAAAUCUGGAGGACAGAAAAGAAUAUUCAGGACUGCAACCUCCAGGACAUACACAGACCUCCCUAGUGCCUGAAAACGUAAAGAUUAUAAACCUUUCCCUGUCUUUAUAAAGACAGAAUAAACCUUCUUCUGUCUCUGCAUAAACCUGUCUUUGGCCUGUUGUGCAGUUUUAGUAAUGGACCAGGGUGUCUCCAGUUUUAAGCUUCGUGGCUGGUAAUUAAAGGGAAAAGCUGUACUAAGAGUAAACUUCUCCCGAGUUUCAACAACUCAGGAUGUCACUGGGAUGGGACAGUCUGAAAUGCCUUUGCAGCAAAUACAAAAGGAAACCUCAUUCGCAUCUGAAGUCCCAGGUGAGCCUCUAGUGGUGUAUGGGGUGAGCAUCUCAUUUUCCAUCAGCAAUAAAGCCAGCCAAAACUAUGUGCAUCCAACAACUUUUAGUGUCAGCUGUUUUACAAGAUCACUUAACUAAAACAUUCAAAUGUUCCAGAAAAUCUUCAGAAUUUAAAACAUCAAAUAUCUCACUGAACAUGAGAUUCUGCAGUCAACAGUUCUUUAUUUAAAGGAACAGGAUGCAGAGAACACUACAAAAAGCUUGUCCUCUUUUGACCAAGAUAUCAAAAAACAAAAACAAAAA